RNAcentral lists this ribosomal RNA (274 nucleotides) under uncultured bacterium. RNAcentral describes it as "partial 16S ribosomal RNA". It matches the Rfam family "Bacterial small subunit ribosomal RNA", at positions 30 to 305 of the family's 1533-position model. The record is from RNAcentral.
AUUGAACGCUGGCGGCAUGCCUUACACAUGCAAGUCGAACGGCAGCACGGGAGCAAUCCUGGUGGCGAGUGGCGAACGGGUGAGUAAUAUAUCGGAACGUGCCCGGUCGUGGGGAUAACGUAGCGAAAGCUACGCUAAUACCGCAUACGAUCUACGGAUGAAAGCGGGGGAUCGCAAGACCUCGCGCGAUUGGAGCGGCCGAUAUCAGAUUAGGUAGUUGGUGAGGUAAAGGCUCACCAAGCCGACGAUCUGUAGCUGGUCUGAGAGGACGACC